AUUGAACGCUGGCGGCAGGCCUAACACAUGCAAGUCGAACGAGUGGCGGACGGGUGAGUAAUGUUUGGGACUCCAGCUUAUGGAUGGGGAUACCUACGGGAAACUGUAGCUAAUACCGCGUACCAUAGGAUGAGCCCAAGUGGGAUUAGGUAGUUGGUGAGGUAAAGGCUCCCCAAGGCGACGAUCUCUAGCUGGUCUGAGAGGAUGACCAGCCACACUGGAACUGAGACACGGCCCAGACUCCUACGGGAGGCAGCAGUGGGGAAUAUUGCGCAAUGGGGGAAAGCUGACGCAGCCAUGCCGCGUGAAUGAAGAAGGCCUGCGGGUUGUAAAGUUCUUUCGGUAGCGAGGCGUUAACUACAGAAGAAGCACCGGCUAACUCCGUGCCAGCAGCCGCGGUAAUUC
This 405-nucleotide ribosomal RNA is filed under the name uncultured bacterium. RNAcentral describes it as "partial 16S ribosomal RNA". It matches the Rfam family "Bacterial small subunit ribosomal RNA", at positions 30 to 526 of the family's 1533-position model. The record is from RNAcentral.